This 560-nucleotide long non-coding RNA is filed under the name Ictidomys tridecemlineatus (thirteen-lined ground squirrel). RNAcentral's name for it is "lncRNA (ENSSTOG00000030958.1)". Lineage: Eukaryota; Metazoa; Chordata; Mammalia; Rodentia; Sciuridae. The record is from RNAcentral.
GGAGGGGGGUGAGACUAGGGAAAGGGGGCGCGGUAUGCGCGAAUGGCUGAGACUGCACUGGAGGACCAUCCGAGGACUCGUUUUCAGGGUUCCAGCUUCCGAAAUCACUUCUCUGGAGGCAGCGGAUUCCGCGGCGCAUGGCCCCCCUCCUCGCAGCUUCCGCAGCCUGGACCUGUGGUCACAGCUACUACGCCACCCCCAGGGCUGCGGGCCCCGGGGCUCCGCGCGCUGCGGGGUCCUCUCUACACCUGGCUGAAGCCUGGGGACAGAGGGGCGCGUUCUGGAGUCUCUGCACAAGACUGGCUCACAGCGCUCUCUCGGUUCCUCGGAAGCAUCCGGAGCUGGCCUUUCCCUCGGGCCCACCGCGCCUUAGGGGACUCGGUGAAAAGAGCUGCCUUGCCUGCUGCCUCCAGCCUGCUGUGCGGAGCGUUCCUCCUGUAGAGGUCAACUCCCCUCACCCUUUCCUCUUUCCUGCUCGCCCUCCCUUCGCCCGGCCCAGGCACUACCAGCUUCCCGACCUGCCGCAAUCUGAGGAGUGCGCAUCUGCUGCGCUGCCUUGA